This is a long non-coding RNA of Periophthalmus magnuspinnatus, 284 nucleotides long. RefSeq lists it as uncharacterized. The record is from RefSeq and is a predicted model, not a curated record. Lineage: Eukaryota; Metazoa; Chordata; Actinopteri; Gobiiformes; Gobiidae. The transcript has 3 exons.
CAUCAACAAGUUAGACUUCUUCACCAGAAGGUCACGGGUGAAUGUUUUUCUUUUUUUUUAAACUAUUGGAUUCAGGAAUACAAUGUCUCAGAGGUUUUCAUUAAAGCACAUGGGAAUAGUGUUUCUGAUACUUCUUAUGGCCAGUUUGCAAACCAUAGCCAAACCUUUGAGAAAAAGAACCAUCAGUGAAGUGCAGCUUAUGCAUAAUGUCCAAGAACACAAACAAGUGGGAGAGCGACAGGACUGGCUUCAGGAAAAGUUGAAGGACAUCAUUGUCACGAGUG